Mustela lutreola (European mink) is the source of this 1338-nucleotide long non-coding RNA. RefSeq lists it as uncharacterized. NCBI's taxonomy places the organism in Eukaryota, Metazoa, Chordata, Mammalia, Carnivora, Mustelidae. The transcript has 2 exons. The record is from RefSeq and is a predicted model, not a curated record.
CUACAAGAUAUGCAGCAGAAGCAGACAUCUAUGUCCCGUGACUCCACUGUAAACAAGAGAGCUCCGGUCACAAGAGAGAAUAAAAUGAAGCUGCCACUAAAUUGAAAGCCAAACUUUGUCUCCCAUACAUUCAUGUUUCUAAAGACAUGGUCACGGCUGCCUGAAGCAUGUCUUCUUCACUCAUAGCAUCUCCUGUUGGGAAAGAAAACAAGCAUCUCUCUCAGAUGUUUCUAGAAGAUUCUUAAAGUCAUCAAAAGGUAAGCUCUUAGAAAAUACAUUUGACUACUAUAGCUUCCUUUUAAAAAUUUUAAUACUUAAAUAAAGUAACAUGCACUCUUACAGUUUUAUAAGUUUUGACAAAUGGAUGGAGCCAUAUAACUACCAUCACCACCAGAUCCGGACCUGCCCACUGCUCUCCCAAAUUUGCACAUGCUGCCCCUUUGUGGUCAAUCCCCGUAAUACAUUUAUUCUAUAUUUCAAAACAAGUACAUUAUGCUAAAUGAAAAAUUAAACUUCGUGUGUGUGUGUGUAUACAUACAUAUACAUAAUUUGUUACCUUUGUUAUCUUGUUUUUAAACAAUUUAUUUACAGGAAGUUGCAAAGAUAGUUCAAAGGGCUCCUGUGUACAUUUUGGCUCAAUUUCACCCAAUAGUUAAAUCCUAAGGAACUACAGCCCCCCCAAACUUGGAUAUUGACAUUGGUACAAAGUUGUGUGUAGUUCUAUGCUAUUUCGUUACAUGUGUAGAUUUGUGUAACCACCAGCACCACAACCAGGACGGAGAACUGUUCAACUACCACAAAGAUUUCUUUCCUGCUGUCCCUUGAUUCACACCUACUUCUCUGCCCACAACUUCCCUAACUGCAGGCAGCCACUAAUUUGUUCUCCAUCUCUACAAAUUUUUCAUUUUUAUUUUUUAUUUUGAAGAUUUUAUUAAUUUAUUUGACAGAGAGAGAGAGAACACAAGUAGGGGGAGAGGCAGAGGGAUAAGGAGACUCCCUGGCUGAGCAGGGAACCCUAUGCAUGACUCAAUCCCGGGACCCUGGGAUCAUGACCUGAGCCAAAGGCGGAUGCUUAACCGACUGAACCACCCAGGUGCCCCCAAAUUUGUCAUUUUUAUAAUGUUACACAAAUAUAACCACACUGUAACAAAUCUUUCCUGCACUUAGCAUAGUGCCCUUGAGGGACAACCAAACUGCUCAUGUAUCAAGAGCUGGUUUCUUUUUAGUCCUGAGUAGUAUUUCAUAGAUAUACUACCACUUGUUUAAACUUCUCUGCCUUUCUGUAGAACAUUUUGGUUGUCUCCAGAUUUUGAUUAUGAGAAAUAAAACUGCUAUGAA